GAAAAAGCAAUGAAAAAGAGUAGUAAUAAGUAAAAAGCUAAUAGAGAGUUAGUGGUUGGUGGAAACUAAUAGUAAUAACUUAUGAAUUCGCUUUGGAGCUGGAUAACCAUAAAGUUAUCACGUAUAUCUUACGUUACAAGAAAUUAAGUGCAUAGUAAAUCUAUGAAACAAGGUGGUACCACGGAUAAGUUUAUUCGCCCUUGUC
This 205-nucleotide non-coding RNA is filed under the name Clostridium sp. RNAcentral's name for it is "T-box sequence". It matches the Rfam family "T-box leader". From Rfam's summary of the family: Uncharged tRNA acts as the effector for transcription antitermination of genes in the T-box leader family. Lineage: Bacteria; Bacillati; Bacillota; Clostridia; Eubacteriales; Clostridiaceae. The record is from RNAcentral.